Molecule: ribosomal RNA, 301 nt
Filed under: uncultured bacterium
Lineage: Bacteria
Description: partial 16S ribosomal RNA
Rfam family: Bacterial small subunit ribosomal RNA
Source: RNAcentral
CAGUCGCCGCGGUAAUACGAAGGGUGCAAGCGUUACUCGGAAUUACUGGGCGUAAAGCGUGCGUAGGUGGUGGUUUAAGUCCGUUGUGAAAGCCCUGGGUUCAACCUGGGAAUUGCAGUGGAUACUGGGUCACUAGAGUGUGGUAGAGGAUAGUGGAAUUUCCGGUGUAGCAGUGAAAUGCGUAGAGAUCGGAAGGAACAUCUGUGGCGAAGGCGACUAUCUGGGCCAACACUGACACUGAGGCACGAAAGCGUGGGGAGCAAACAGGAUUAGAGACCCCUGUAGUCCCUGUCUCUUAUAC